RNAcentral lists this ribosomal RNA (253 nucleotides) under uncultured bacterium. Its description in RNAcentral is "partial 16S ribosomal RNA". It matches the Rfam family "Bacterial small subunit ribosomal RNA", at positions 524 to 776 of the family's 1533-position model. The record is from RNAcentral.
UACGUAGGCAGCAAGCGUUGUUCGGAAUUACUGGGCGUACAGAGUGUGUAGGCGGUGCUCUAAGUUCGGUGUGAAAUCUCCCGGCUUAACUGGGAGGGUGCGCCGGAAACUGGAGUGCUCGAGCGUGGGAGAGGAAAGCGGAAUUCCUGGUGUAGCGGUGAAAUGCGUAGAUAUCAGGAGGAACACCUGCGGUGUAGACGGCUUUCUGGACCAUUGCUGACGCUGGGACACGAAAGCGUGGGUAGCAAACAGG